AAAAUUAAUCUAUGCUCCUCCCAUAAGAAAUCCUGAAUAACACUAGGGAGGACUGCAUAAUGACUUUUUUUUUAAAAUGCCAAUAACAACUCUUUUUCAUAAAAAAUGCUCGGAGCUUACGGUUGAUGAAAACAUUGUUCGGAGUUUAUAAAGUUUUUAGACAUUAUAUACCAUUGACUUAUAUAUUGGUUAAAUGUAAACAUCGAAACAAGAUAUUAACGAUCUCAAUUGUUCUUUUUUUUGCAUCAGCUAAAAGAUCAUAUUUUCAAAAAAUAAAAUCUGAAAAACGAAAUCCGGUGAGAAUAAUAGAACGUAAACGACAAUCGACAGUUAAAUAUAAAUCUAGGGUACAUAGAUUAUGGUGUCGAAUUUCGGAGUUGACCCCUUUACCAAAGUUGCAAAACUUGUCAUUGCGAGUGAUUUUUUUAUUUUUCACACUUCUAUAUUAAUUAUUAGUAAUUUUUAAUAAUUUUUCACUCAAACAAAAAAGCUACAAUUCAUGAGGGUUUGUAAGGUUUUAAAAAUUUAAAUGAGGGUGUAACUAUCAAAAAGCAUAGAGGGUGCAAUCACAAGCAUUUGUAUAUUUUUCACACUUGUACAUUACUCAUUAUGAUUUUAUUUAUUUAUUUUGAACUCUCUUAAAAAUACUAUUCACGAGGGUUUGUACGGUUUAAAAAAUCCAAACAACCAUAUACCAAUUGUCAAAGUAUAGAAGAUGCGAUCAUGAGUGUUUACGUAUUUUUUUUUCACAUUUGUAAAUUAAUUAUUAUGAAUUUUUUAAUGUGCUUUGGAACUUUUUGAUUUGACUUAUGUAAGAUUAAAUACUAUGGCUAAGGUUCUUAUGUAGUUUAAAAUUGUCAAACUAACUUUUUUUUUCUUAACGGGUUAAAACAAGCUACCCACAGGUAAAUCUAUUAAGCACCCGUUAUUAACCGAAUCUUAACGAGUGACCCAAUAACAACUCCAUUAGUUAACGUGUUCACCUAAAACCUGUUAUUUUCGUGUCAUUUAGGUUCAGAUUAACAGGUCCUGUAAGAAAUUGUCAGGUCUAAUGAU
RNAcentral lists this long non-coding RNA (1056 nucleotides) under Malus domestica (apple). RNAcentral's name for it is "long non-coding RNA (MDOM_LNC002831)". The record is from RNAcentral. Lineage: Eukaryota; Viridiplantae; Streptophyta; Magnoliopsida; Rosales; Rosaceae.